Alosa alosa (allis shad) is the source of this 73-nucleotide non-coding RNA. NCBI's taxonomy places the organism in Eukaryota, Metazoa, Chordata, Actinopteri, Clupeiformes, Clupeidae. The record is from the annotation of a RefSeq genome assembly.
GGUCUCGUAGUGUAGUGGUUAACACACCUGUCUUAUAUACAGGAGAUCGGAGGUUCAAUUUCUCCCGGGACUA